This 276-nucleotide ribosomal RNA is filed under the name Nanos peyrierasi. RNAcentral's name for it is "partial 28S ribosomal RNA". It matches the Rfam family "Eukaryotic large subunit ribosomal RNA", at positions 696 to 939 of the family's 3401-position model. Lineage: Eukaryota; Metazoa; Arthropoda; Insecta; Coleoptera; Scarabaeidae. The record is from RNAcentral.
GGACUCUGUUAAACCUAAAGGCGCAAUGAAAGUAAAGGUCCGCCUCGCGCGGACCGAGGGAGGAUGGGCCCGUCCCCGGACGGGCCCCGCACUCCCGGGGCGUCUCGUCCUCAUCGCGAGGAGAGGCGCACCCAGAGCGUACACGCUGGGACCCGAAAGAUGGUGAACUAUGCCUGGUCAGGACGAAGUCAGGGGAAACCCUGAUGGAGGUCCGUAGCGAUUCUGACGUGCAAAUCGAUCGUCGGAACUGGGUAUAGGGGCGAAAGACUAAUCGAA